GGUAUGAAUUUCAUAGACCAUACACUUAGAUUACUUAGAUGUUUAUGAAAUGAAAGUGUAUGUGUGUAUGUGUGUGUGUGUGUGUGUGUUUGUAUACACUGAAUUUAAUUUAUAAUUGUACCUCAUAGCAGAAAACUGAACCUUAGCAGAUAGGGUCCCUUCAAAUUUUUCCUAUUUUAGUAAGCUUAGGGCUCCUUCCUAUUCCUAUCCCCACUGCCCCACUGUGGCAUAGAUUCUAAAUGUAAGGGAAUAAAAGCAGUCUAAUGGAACGUGGUAAAAGCAAGCUGCAAGAAUCUAGUCCUUGCAUUACAUCUAUCCAUAGCUAGCAUCUGCUGAGAUGACCAUUAAGAAUAAAAAUAGCUAACAUAUAUGAAACACUCAUAUAACCCUAUGCUAGGUCCUUUACAUAUCUGAAUUCACCCAGCCUUCAUAACAGCCCGUGAAGUAAGUACUAUUAUUACAAUGUGCAUUUUAUAGAUAGGAAAACUGAUGCACAGAGUUUAAAAACUGGGCCAGGUUUAUGCAGCACUUAAGAAACAGAGCUGGAGUUUGAACGCAAUACUGGAACUCUGGAACUUCAGCUUGGAAUCUCUGUGCUCGGCAGGCUCUCCUGCUGUCUACUCCUUCCAUAUAAGCCUCCACAUCAGCACAAGCUGAAGCUAUUGUAUUAUAUUUGGAAGGUAAUGUGACGCAUUCCACAGCGGCUUCCUCAUCCCUCCCUCUGCAGACUGCUGGUUCUCUAAGUCCCGACUGUGCCACUCAUGUGCAAUACAUGUGGUAUAAAAUGACUUGUCUGCUCACUCCUAGAACCUAUUGAGGUUUACAGGGCCUCUGGGCCUCGUGUCCAUCAGCCAAAUAACUCACGUAAACAUCACUAUGUAUUCACAGGGUCAUGGUUUUGGGAGUGUUCUAAAUGUUUAAAGUAUUCCAAUCAGAAAGCUGGAUGCUCUGUCACUCUACCCAGGAGUGCAGUCAGAAUAAUCUCUAAUUCAAGAGGACACUGGUCCAUGGCUAUCUUUCUUUUCUUACUGUAUCUUGUAACUUCUGUGGUGCUUUAUCGAGAUUUACCAGACACAGGAAGAAGAUGGCCAUCUAAAAGUCAAAAGAAGAAGCCUGGAACAGAUUUUUCCCUCACAGUUCUCAGAAGGAGCCAGUGGUGCCGACAACUUGAUCUAGUCUCCAGAGCUAUACCACAACCAAUUCCACUUAUUUAAGCCACCUAGGUUGUGGUACCUCGCUACAGCAUCACCUAGAAAAUUAAUGCACCUUCAUUACCCAGAGAUAACCUCAGUAAACACUUACUAUACAUUUAAAAAUCUGUGGCCUAUUUCUGUUUACUUAUUCAAAUAUUUUUUUUUCACAUAACACUAAAUUUUGAACAAAUUUUUCAGUCUAUGGCGGUGACGUCUUGUGCCCUACCCUGAAGUCCAUUUUUCCUUCCUCCCAGUAACAAUGCUCUAAUUUUAGUGCUCAAUCAAAAGAUAACAUUUGCAGCCUCCCUUGGGCCAUGUGCUUAUUUAUCUAAAUUCUGGACAAAAUGAUGUUAGCAGAAAUGUUGUAUUGGACUGUAAAGAACUGCAAAGUUUCUAAAAUUUUGCACUACUUGAAAGCAAAAAAGAAACCCUUCCACAGAAAGGUGGUUUUCUUGUCCCAGUUUUCUGAGUGCCAAUUCCCACAGGGCCAGAAGAGGAUGAGACACUUACAGAGCCUAAAACUUUUAUAAUGGUCAGUGAACCUGCACACCCUUUGUGUAGGACAGAAAUGCUGUUUCUACCUUGCAAGGCUGCUUCCUAUAAAAAAUUCUUAAAACGAUAGACCACCAGCCAACGUUUUGAGGAUGCAUUCAUAUUUUCAGAAUGACAGUAGGAAGAGAGGAAACUGAGCUCCAUACUAGUCCUGGCCUAUGCACCCCCCCAGACUUCUUUUAUGGCUGAGGAAAUUAAACUUCUUUAGUUAAAUCACUUAUUUUGGGAAUUUUCUGUGGUGCUGUCCAAUCCUAGGUCUAACUGGCAUGCAGUCAAUAAAACUUACAUUUAAAACUUCAUUUUUCAGCCGGGCACAGUGGCUCACAUGUGUAAUCCCAGCACCAAGUCAGGUGCAUCACCUGAGGUCAGGAAUUUGAGACCAGACUGGCCAACAUCGUGAAACCCUGUCUCUAUUAAAAUACAAAAUUAUUUUACUCUAUUAAAAAUACAAAAUUUAGCCGGGCGCGGUGGCGGGCACCUGUAAUCCCAGCUACUCGUAAGGCUGAGGCCGGAGAAUCAUUUGAACUCAGGAGGCAGAGGUUGCAGUGAGCCGAGGUGGCGCCAUUGCACUCCAGCCUGGGCAACAAGAGUGAAACUCCAUCUCAAAAAUAAAUAAAUAAAUAAAUAAAUAAAUAAAUAAAUAAAUAAAUAAAUAAAAUAAAAUAAAAUACUUCAUUUUUCAUAAUGACAAAGAAGUAAAUCAUAUAAUCAUACCAUCAUUUCCUUAGUUAAACCCAUUAUUGUACUCCCC
This 2496-nucleotide long non-coding RNA is filed under the name Homo sapiens (human). RNAcentral describes it as "HSALNT0124935". Lineage: Eukaryota; Metazoa; Chordata; Mammalia; Primates; Hominidae. The record is from RNAcentral.